RNAcentral lists this ribosomal RNA (440 nucleotides) under uncultured bacterium. RNAcentral's name for it is "partial 16S ribosomal RNA". It matches the Rfam family "Bacterial small subunit ribosomal RNA", at positions 338 to 795 of the family's 1533-position model. The record is from RNAcentral.
CCUACGGGAGGCAGCAGUGGGGGAUAUUGCACAAUGGGGGGAACCCUGAUGCAGCGAAGCCGCGUGGGUGAAGAAGCGCCUCGGCGCGUAAAGCCCUGUCAGCAGGGAAGCAAAUGACGGUACCUGUAGAAGAAGCCCCGGCUAACUACGUGCCAGCAGCCGCGGUAAUAAUGGGGGGGCAAGCGUUAUCCGGAUUUACUGGGUGUAAAGGGGGCGCAAACGGCGAUGCAAGCCAGGAGGGAAAGCCCUGGGGCCAACCCCGGGACCGCCCUUGGAACUGCGUGUCUGGAGUGCAGGAGGGGCAGGCGGAAUUCGUGGUGUAGCGGUGAAAUGCGUAGAUAUCAGGAAGAACGCCGAUGGCGAAGGCAGCAUGCUGGAGCGCAACUGACGCUGAGGCACGAAAGCGUGGGGAGCGAACAGGAUUAGAUACCCCUGUAGUC